GUAAGAAUCUUCCGCAAUGGGCGAAAGCCUGACGGAGCGAUGCCGCGUGAGCGAAGAAGGCCGGAAGGUUGUAAAGCUCUUUUCUCGGGGGGGAAUAAGCGGGGGAGGAAAUGCCCUUGUGAUGACGAGAACCGAGGAAUAAGCCCCGGCUAAUUACGUGCCAGCAGCCGCGGUAACACGUAAGGGGCGAGCGUUGUUCGGAAUUAUUGGGCGUAAAGGGCGUGUAGGCGGCUAUGUAAGCCUGGUGUGAAAGACUUCAGCUUAACUGGAGGGUCGCGCUGGGAACUAUGUGGCUUGAGUAUAGGAGGGGGAGCUGGAAUUCCAGGUGUAGGGGUGAAAUCUGUAGAUAUCUGGAAGAACACCGGGGGCGAAGGCGAGCUCCUGGCCAUAUACUGACGCUGAGGCGCGAAAGCGUGGGGAGCGAACAGGAUUAGAUACCCUGGUAGUCCACGCUGUAAACGUUGUGCACUAGGUGUCGGACUUACGGGUUCGGUACCGAAGUUAACGCGAUAAGUGCACCGCCUGGGGAGUAUGCUCGCAAGGGUG
RNAcentral lists this ribosomal RNA (546 nucleotides) under uncultured bacterium. Its description in RNAcentral is "bacterial SSU rRNA". It matches the Rfam family "Bacterial small subunit ribosomal RNA", at positions 355 to 896 of the family's 1533-position model. The record is from RNAcentral.